CGCUUUUGCGGAUUUCUUCGGAUUGAAGCAACUGUGACUGAGCGGCGGACGGGUGAGUAACGCGUGGGUAACCUGCCUCAUACAGGGGGAUAACAGUUGGAAACGGCUGCUAAUACCGCAUAAGACCACAGCACCGCAUGGUGCGGGGGUAAAAACUCCGGUGGUAUGAGAUGGACCCGCGUCUAAUUAGCUAGUUGGUGGGGUAACGGCCUACCAAGGCGACGAUCAGUAGCCGACCUGAGAGGGUGACCGGCCACAUUGGGACUGAGACACGGCCCAAACUCC
RNAcentral lists this ribosomal RNA (285 nucleotides) under uncultured Lachnospiraceae bacterium. RNAcentral's name for it is "partial 16S ribosomal RNA". It matches the Rfam family "Bacterial small subunit ribosomal RNA", at positions 67 to 339 of the family's 1533-position model. The record is from RNAcentral. Lineage: Bacteria; Bacillati; Bacillota; Clostridia; Lachnospirales; Lachnospiraceae.